Molecule: ribosomal RNA, 224 nt
Filed under: uncultured bacterium
Lineage: Bacteria
Description: partial 16S ribosomal RNA
Rfam family: Bacterial small subunit ribosomal RNA
Source: RNAcentral
GAUCCUGGCUCAGGAUGAACGCUAGCUACAGGCUUAACACGUGCAAGUCGAGGGGCAGCAUGGUCUUAGCUUGCUAAGACUGAUGGCGACCGACGCACGGGUGAGUAACACGUAUCCAACCUGCCGUCUACUCUUGGACAGCCUUCUGAAAGGAAGAUUAAUACAAGAUGGCAUCAUGAGUCCGCAUGUUCAUAUGAUUAAAGGUAUUCCGGUAGACGAUGGGG